Molecule: ribosomal RNA, 274 nt
Filed under: uncultured bacterium
Lineage: Bacteria
Description: partial 16S ribosomal RNA
Rfam family: Bacterial small subunit ribosomal RNA
Source: RNAcentral
AGACGGAGGGUGCAAGCGUUAAUCGGAAUUACUGGGCGUAAAGCGCUCGUAGGCGGCUUGUUAAGUCGGAUGUGAAAGCCCCGGGCUCAACCUGGGAACUGCAUUCGAUACUGGCAGGCUAGAGUAUAGUAGAGGCAAGUGGAAUUCCGGGUGUAGCGGUGAAAUGCGUAGAUAUCCGGAGGAACAUCAGUGGCGAAGGCGACUUGCUGGACUAAUACUGACGCUGAGGAGCGAAAGCGUGGGGAGCAAACCGGAUUAGAUACCCCGGUAGUCC